This is a long non-coding RNA of Ictalurus punctatus (channel catfish), 768 nucleotides long. Lineage: Eukaryota; Metazoa; Chordata; Actinopteri; Siluriformes; Ictaluridae. The record is from Ensembl.
CGCUGUUAUAUACAGUCAGAAUCUACAAUACAGAAAUGCGGUGGUAGGAUGAACAUUUCAUGCAUCAUUUAACGCCUUAAACUCUCAGCAUAUUGUUUGGUCAGUUAUCUUCAAGCAUGUUGUUCUGUAACCAAAAAGAUACUUCUGGAGUUUGGCGAGUUUGGUGGAGUGUUGAAAGUGAAAUCCCUUUAGAUUCCAUACAUCUCUUGGUCUUGAAUUCCCAAUAGAUUCAUUUCUUCUACAGGUCUCGAAUUUCCAAUAGUUUCCAUUCUUCUACAGAUUUUGCCAUCCCCUUAGAUACCAUACUCCUCCAGGUCUCGAAAUCCUUUUAGCUUCCAUUCUUCUCCAGGUUUUGAAAUCUCUUUACAUUCCAUUCUUCUCCAGGUCUCAAAUUCCCUCUACAUUCCAUUCUUCUCCAGGUCUCCAAUUCCCUUUAGAUUCCAUUCUUCUCCAGGUCUCCAAUUCCCUUUAGAUUCCAUUCUUCUCCAGGUCUCCAAUUCCCUCUACAUUUCAUUCUUCUCCAGGUCUCCAAUUCCCUCUACAUUCCAUUCUUCUCCAGGUCUCCAAUUCCCUUUAGAUUCCAUUCUUCUCCAGGUCUCAAAUUCCCUCUACAUUACAUUCUUCUCCAGGUCUCCAAUUCCCUUUAGAUUCCAUAGUUCUCCAGGUCUCCAAUUCCCUCUACAUUCCAUUCUUCUCCAGGUCUCCAAUUCCCUUUAGAUUCCGUAGUUCUCCAGGUCUCGAAUUCCCUCUCCAUUCCAUAGUUUUCCA